UUGACCUCGGAUCAGGUAGGAAUACCCGCUGAACUUAAGCAUAUCAAUAAGCGGAGGAAAAGAAACCAACAGGGAUUGCCCUAGUAACGGCGAGUGAAGCGGCAACAGCUCAAAUUUGAAAUCUGGCUCUCGGGCCCGAGUUGUAAUUUGUAGAGGAUGCUUUUGGCAAGGUGCCUUCCGAGUUCCCUGGAACGGGACGCCAUAGAGGGUGAGAGCCCCGUCUGGUUGGACACCGAGCCUCUGUAAAGCUCCUUCGACGAGUCGAGUAGUUUGGGAAUGCUGCUCUAAAUGGGAGGUAUAUGUCUUCUAAAGCUAAAUACUGGCCAGAGACCGAUAGCGCACAAGUAGAGUGAUCGAAAGAUGAAAAGCACUUUGAAAAGAGAGUUAAAAAGCACGUGAAAUUGUUGAAAGGGAAGCGCUUAUGACCAGACUUGGGCUUGGUUGAUCAUCCGGCGUUCUCGCCGGUGCACUCUUCCAGUUCAGGCCAGCAUCAGUUUGCCUCGGGGGAUAAAAGUAGCGGGAAUGUGGCUCCUCCGGGAGUGUUAUA
RNAcentral lists this ribosomal RNA (547 nucleotides) under Fusarium cf. dimerum a DPGS-2011. RNAcentral describes it as "eukaryotic LSU rRNA". It matches the Rfam family "Eukaryotic large subunit ribosomal RNA", at positions 1 to 558 of the family's 3401-position model. Lineage: Eukaryota; Fungi; Ascomycota; Sordariomycetes; Hypocreales; Nectriaceae. The record is from RNAcentral.